RNAcentral lists this ribosomal RNA (3486 nucleotides) under Triticum aestivum (bread wheat). Its description in RNAcentral is "partial small subunit ribosomal RNA". The record is from RNAcentral. Lineage: Eukaryota; Viridiplantae; Streptophyta; Magnoliopsida; Poales; Poaceae.
AUGCGGCGUCUUGCCUGCGCGCUGGUGCUGCUUCUGGCUUCUCUUCUUGGAUCCACAGGUACUGAUCUGGCGCCUGCUCCUGCGGUUGGUAAUUCGCCUGUCGAUCAAGGACAGGCUUCUAGUCCUCCUGGACCUUCCUCCGCCCUAGGUCCAGUAACUCUUCCAGCAGCACCCCCUUCUUCAUCAGCAAACCCUCCCCUCCAGAAGGGAGCUGUGAGCCCUGCAGUUCCGGCUGAACCGCAGGCUGCACCGGCUCCGGUAGCCCCCCCUAAAGGUUAUAAUGCACCUCCUCCGGUUGAGUCUGCGCCACCUCCGGUCGUGUCUGCGUCUCCUCCAGCUGAGUCUGCGCCUCCUCCGGUUGUGUCUGUGUCUCCUCCAGUUGAGCCUGCUCCUCCUCCUGCUGUCACUGAGGGGGUGCCCCCGGCAGCAGCUCCUCCGCCGCAAGCUGCAGCUGGAAACCCCGCACCAAUACUUCCUGGGUCACCUGCAUUGCUACCUUCAGUUCAGGCUCCUACUCCAUCUGUGGCUGUGAAGCCUAAUCUGCCACUAGCACCUCCUGCUUCACUACCUUCAGUUCAGGCUCCGACUCCAUCUGUGGCUGUGAAGCCUAAUGUGCCACUGGCACCUCCUCCUUCAAUACCUUCAGUUCAGGCUCCUGCUCCAUCUGUGGCUUUGAAGCCUAAUGUGCCACUAGUGCCUCCUCCUUCACUAUCUACAGUUCAGGCUCCUACUCCAUCUGUGGCUGUGAAGCCUAAUGUGCCACUAGCGCCUCCGCCUUCUGUGAACAAUCAACCGGUUAGGCCAAUUGGAUCAGGUAAUGAUGUCCCUCCGUAUCCGCCACCUGAAGGCAUUUUCCGGGCAGUUCCUCCUUCCACUUCAGUAGUUCCUCCGGAACAUGUGAAACCUCCAAUUGCACCACCUAUUAUUGCACAUGCACCUCAACAACAAGCGCAAGCUCCAAAUGCCGAGCAUAACAAUGGAAACACGGUACCCCCAGCAAAUACUUCCCCUCCUGCAAGUGGUAAGAACCAUGACAUUCGACCUGCACCUCCACCAAAGGAACCUAAUACUGCACUGGUUCACAAAUCACCAACUAGAGGGUUUGUGCCUGCAGCUAGUCCUCUGCCCCACAACACAAAUAUGCCUACACUCCCGAGGAAUGCAUCAACGGUUCCACAUGCUCAACCCCCAUCGUUAGGGGUAGCUCCUAAACCAGCACCCACUAGCAGAUCUCAUCCUCCGACACCAACGAAAGGAGAACGUCCAUCAUUUCCCCCAUCUUACCCACCACCCCAUGCUCAAGGUCCUGAGGUCUCGCGAGCUCAACCUCCACAGCAGGUUGGGACUAAAAGGCAAAAUCAUCAUGCACCACCACCGAUGAUUCAAGGCCAUCCAAACCUCCAUGUGCAUCCUCCAUCUCCUCCACCAGUGUCACCAAAGGGCCCCUCUGAUGGCAGCAAAAGACCUCGUGUUUCUCCUACUCUUCCACCAAUUCCUCCUGAAACAGAACCCAAAGCACCAUCAACUCAUCCUAUUUGGACAUUGCCCCCACCACCACCUAAUUUAGAUUGCAAAUCGUUAGUGUGCCCAGAGCCUCUAACGGAUCCACCCGCGGGAGCUCCAUGUGCUUGUGUUCUACCAAUUAAAGUUGGAAUCCGUUUAAGUGUGGACCUUUAUUCAUUCUUUCCGUUAGUUUCGGAUUUUGCCGACGAAGUGGGAUCUGGGGUACACAUGGCACGGCGGCAGGUUCGUGUUAUGGGUGCAAAUGUGGCUGGCGAUCAACCUGACAAGACAGUAGUUCUUGUGCAUCUGGUACCAAUGCAUGUGAAUUUUGAUAAAGCUACUGCCUUGUCGACAUUUCAAACCUUGUGGAGCAAAAAGAUUUCUCUCAAACCGUCAGUUUUCGGGGACUAUGAGAUUCUCUAUGUUGUCUAUCCAGGGCUUCCUCCUUCUCCACCUUCAGCACCAGCUGGUGCAUUCGGCAACAGCAGAAAUGCAAGGGCAAUGAAGCCCCUGGGGGUUGAUGUAGGAAAACCCAAAAGAAAAGUGAAUGGGAGCGUAAUUGCUAUUGCUGCUCUAUCCACUGUUAUAGCAUUGAUUAUUUGCAUUGUGGCUGCAUGGUUGCUGAUACUCAAAUUCAGGGAUUCAGAUGACAUAGCUCAAGGAUAUCCACAUAGUGCAAUUCCCAAAAUUUCCAGGUCUUCCGGGACAUGUAACACACUUUUAGCUGGUCGCCGUAGUACUCAAUCAGGUCCAUCAAGUUCACUGGGGUCAAGUAUGGCAGCAUACACAGGGCAGGCAAAGACAUUCAAAUUUGCUGAGAUAGAAAAGGCUACGAAUGGCUUUGAUGAUUCGUCGAUACUUGGGGAAGGUGGCUUCGGUUGUGUGUACCAAGGGACACUUGAAGAUGGAACCACAGUUGCGGUAAAGGUUCUGAAAAGAUUUGAUGGCCAAGGUGAACGAGAGUUCUUGGCAGAGGUUGAGAUGCUGGGACGAUUGCAUCACCGAAAUUUGGUCAAGUUGUUGGGCAUAUGCGUAGAGGAGAACGCGCGGUGUCUGGUAUAUGAACUUAUUCCAAAUGGCAGCGUUGAGUCCCAUUUGCAUGGAGCCGAUCGCGAGAUAGCUCCACUUGAUUGGAAUGCACGUAUGAAGAUAGCCCUGGGGGCAGGGCGGGCACUAGCAUAUCUACAUGAAGACUCAAGCCCUUGUGUGAUUCAUCGUGAUUUCAAGUCAAGCAACAUACUGCUAGAGCAUGAUUUCACACCAAAAGUUUCAGACUUUGGACUGGCCAGGACUGCGAGGGGGGAGGGGAACCAGCACAUCUCCACCCGUGUAAUGGGAACAUUCGGUUAUGUUGCACCGGAGUACGCCAUGACAGGCCAUCUUCUUGUCAAGAGUGAUGUAUACAGCUAUGGAGUCGUAUUACUUGAACUUCUCACAGGUAGGAAGCCUGUGGACAUGUCUCAGCCUGCAGGCCAAGAAAGCCUAGUCGCAUGGGCUCGCCCAUAUCUGACAAAUGUGGUGGGCUUGCGUCAAGCUGUUGAUCCACUUCUUGGCCCUAAUGUGCCACUGGACAACGUGGCGAAAGCAGCUGCCAUCGCAUCCAUGUGUGUACAGCCUGAGGUUGCACACCGACCGAGCAUGAGCGAAGUUGUGCAGGCCUUGAAGCUUGUCUGCAGCGAGGGUGAUGAAGGUUUUGGUUCGGGAAGUUUCAGCCAGGAAUUGGCGGCUCGUACGACAGCGGCUCAUGAUGUAACUGGCAUGGAAGCGGAGAGGGUGCUAUUAUCUGAGAUGUUUGGCUCAACACCUGUCUUCACUCCAGCUGCUGAUUCAGGUUCUUUCCGCAUGCAGUCCAUCUCCGGCCCUCUGAUGACAGGCAAGAACAAGAAGUUCUGGCAAAGGAUGCGAAACUUGUCGAGAGGUAGUAUGAGCGAGCAUGGUGCCUCGCCAGAUUUUGAGACACACUCACAGUGUAGCAAUAGGUGA